RNAcentral lists this ribosomal RNA (497 nucleotides) under uncultured bacterium. RNAcentral's name for it is "partial 16S ribosomal RNA". It matches the Rfam family "Bacterial small subunit ribosomal RNA", at positions 28 to 507 of the family's 1533-position model. The record is from RNAcentral.
GAUGAACGCUGGCGGCGUGCCUAACACAUGCAAGUCGAACGAACGGACGGUAAGCUUGCUUCUUUGAUGUUAGCGGCGGACGGGCGAGUAACACGUGGAUAACCUACUUAUAUGUCUGGGAUAAUUUCGGGAAACCGGAGCUAAUACUGGAUGAUAUUUUGAACCGCAUGGUUCAAAAGUGAAUGACGGUCUUGCUGUCUCUUAUAGAUGGUUCCGCGCUGCAUUAGCUAGUUGGUAAGGUAACGGCUUACCAAGGCGACGAUGCAUAGCCGACCUGAGAGGGUGAUCGGCCACACUGGAACUGAGACACGGUCCAGACUCCUACGGGAGGCAGCAGUAGGGAAUCUUCCGCAAUGGGCGAAAGCCUGACGGAGCAACGCCGCGUGAGUGAUGAAGGUCUUCGGAUCGUAAAACUCUGUUAUUAGGGAAGAACAUAUGUGUAAGUAACUGUGCACAUCUUGACGGUACCUAAUCAGAAAGCCACGGCUAACUACGUG